This 318-nucleotide ribosomal RNA is filed under the name Amblyomma scalpturatum. RNAcentral's name for it is "partial 12S ribosomal RNA". The record is from RNAcentral. Lineage: Eukaryota; Metazoa; Arthropoda; Arachnida; Ixodida; Ixodidae.
GUAUAUAAUAAUUAUGAAAACAAAAAAUUAUGGCGGUACUUUAAGCUUUUCAGAGGAAUUUGCUCUUUAAUGGAUAAAACACCAAAACCUUGCUAAAAUUAGUUAAAACAGUUUGUAUACCACUAUAGAAAUAAUAAGUUAUUAUUAUUAUUAAGAUCUUAUAUAGUUUUAUAAAAAUAAAUUAAGUCAUGGUGCAGCUGAAUUUUAGAAUGAAGUGAAUUACAUUUCUUUUUAGAAAGUAAAAAUGAAAAUUAUUUUAGGAUUUGAAAGUAAAAUUUAAAUAAAAUGGAAAUUUGAANGAAGUNCUGAAGUAUGUAC